UAAGUCCCGCAACGAGCGCAACCCCUAUUGUUAGUUGCCAUCAUUCAGUUGGGCACUCUAGCGAGACUGCCGGUAAUAAACCGGAGGAAGGUGGGGAUGACGUCAAAUCAUCAUGCCCCUUAUGACCUGGGCUACACACGUGCUACAAUGGCUGGUACAACGAGUCGCAAGCCGGUGACGGCAAGCUAAUCUCUUAAAGCCAGUCUCAGUUCGGAUUGUAGGCUGCAACUCGCCUACAUGAAGUCGGAAUCGCUAGUAAUCGCGGAUCAGCACGCCGCGGUGAAUACGUUCCCGGGCCUU
This 300-nucleotide ribosomal RNA is filed under the name uncultured bacterium. RNAcentral describes it as "bacterial SSU rRNA". It matches the Rfam family "Bacterial small subunit ribosomal RNA", at positions 1081 to 1382 of the family's 1533-position model. The record is from RNAcentral.